Molecule: ribosomal RNA, 895 nt
Filed under: uncultured archaeon
Lineage: Archaea
Description: bacterial SSU rRNA
Rfam family: Archaeal small subunit ribosomal RNA
Source: RNAcentral
CUGACUGCUAUCGGAUUGAUACUAAGCCAUGCGAGUCAUUGUAGCAAUACAAGGCAGACGGCUCAGUAACGCGUAGUCAAUCUACCCUAUGGACGGGAAUAACCUCGGGAAACUGAGAAUAAUGCCCGAUAGAACAUUAUGCCUGGAAUGGUUUAUGUUUCAAAUGAUUUAUCGCCAUAGGAUGGGACUGCGGCCUAUCAGUUUGUUGGUGAGGUAAUGGCCCACCAAGACUAUUACAGGUACGGGCUCUGAGAGGAGUAGCCCGGAGAUGGGUACUGAGACACGGACCCAGGCCCUAUGGGGCGCAGCAGGCGAGAAAACUUUGCAAUGUGCGAAAGCACGACAAGGUUAAUCCGAGUGGUUUCUGCUAAAGAAACCUUUUAUCAGUCCUAGAAACACUAAUGAAUAAGGGGUGGGCAAGUUCUGGUGUCAGCCGCCGCGGUAAAACCAGCACCUCAAGUGGUCAGGAUGAUUAUUGGGCCUAAAGCAUCCGUAGCUCGUUUUGUAAGUUUUCGGUUAAAUCCAUGCGCUUAACGUAUGGGCUGCCGGGAAUACUGCAUAACUAGGAAGUGGGAGAGGUAGACGGUACUCGGUAGGAAGGGGUAAAAUCCUUUGAUCUAUUGAUGACCACCUGUGGCGAAGGCGGUCUACCAGAACACGUUCGACGGUGAGGGAUGAAAGCUGGGGGAGCAAACCGGAUUAGAUACCCGGGUAGUCCCAGCUGUAAACUAUGCAAACUCAGUGAUGCAUUGGCUUGUGGCCAAUGCAGUGCUGCAGGGAAGCCGUUAAGUUUGCCGCCUGGGAAGUACGUACGCAAGUAUGAAACUUAAAGGAAUUGGCGGGGGAGCACCACAAGGGGUGAAGCCUGCGGUUCAAUUGGAUUCAACGCCGGAAA